AAUAAUAUUACGUAACUUUGUUCCAACGUUUAUUUUUAGCAUUCUUCACCUUUUUCAAUACUUUUAAUUUGAAUUGAAUUAACAUGGGCAAUGGAAAAGACAAGCAUGAUGAGACCAAUGAGAGAGGUCUUUUUUCUUCACUUUUGACAGGCUUGGGCCAUUCAUCAGGAUCUCACUAUCCAUAUCCCCCACAUGGAUCAUACCCCGGAGCAGGAUAUCCACCACCCGGAGGAGGCUACCCUCCAACAGCAUAUCCGCCUGCUGGAGGGUAUCCACCUGCUGGAUAUCCUCCUUCGGGAUAUCCUCCUGCAGGAGGGUAUCCACAUGUUGGUUAUCCUCCUUCAGGAUAUCCUCCAACGGGAGGGUAUCCACCAUUUGGUUACCCACAUUCAGGGUAUCCUCAUCAACCACCAGCAUACCCUUCCGGCUACCCAGGUGCACAUACUUCAGGGCACGGGGGUGGAAUGGGAAGAGGCUUAUUAGCCAGUGGUGUUGCGGCUGCAGCGGCCGCGUAUGGUGCUCACAAGCUUUCACAUGGUGGUAAUCAAUAUGGUUAUGGACAUGGGAGUUCCUUUGGCCAUGGAAAGUUUAAGCAUGGUAAACAUGGCAAGUUUAAGCAUGGCAAGUUUAAGGGUAAACAUGGUUGGAAAUGAUGUAAAAAAGGUAAAUAAUUAUGUGCAUGGUUGUGAAGGUUGAGUUCUAUGAUCAAUAGUAAUAAUGUUUGCUAUGAGCAGCAAAGUGUGUUUCUAUUAACAAUGAAAACUUUAUGUACAUUGUUUGUUAUUAUUUUUGGUGUUAUUGUGUGAGGCUGUUAUAUAUAAGUAAGCCAUUAUUAUCAUCCUUAAUUAUUAAGCUUUGUUUUCUAAUCAUUUACUUUCUUUGUGCG
This 886-nucleotide long non-coding RNA is filed under the name Lupinus mutabilis. RNAcentral describes it as "partial ncRNA". The record is from RNAcentral. Lineage: Eukaryota; Viridiplantae; Streptophyta; Magnoliopsida; Fabales; Fabaceae.